This is an RNA transcript of Rosa chinensis, 739 nucleotides long. It is a transcript of the gene named acyl-coenzyme A oxidase 3, peroxisomal-like, with no coding region annotated. NCBI's taxonomy places the organism in Eukaryota, Viridiplantae, Streptophyta, Magnoliopsida, Rosales, Rosaceae. The transcript has 2 exons. The record is from RefSeq and is a predicted model, not a curated record.
CAUAUGUUAUUAGUAAGGAAGAAUAUGUUUAUCAAAUCAUGGGCAGAGCCAUAAAUGGUGAAAAUGUGCUAUUGGAGAAGUACUAUUUAGUCAGUUAUUCAUCAAAAUUACUAAUAAAUAAUACAUUUUUCUCUGACAUCAGAGUAAUUUCUAAAGCAGUGGAAUAUUUUAGGUUUUUAACACAGGUCAGCAAGGCACUUCUUGCAGAGUUUAUGACAGCUCAAAAGAGAAGCAAACCAUUUAAAGCUUUGGGAUCAGAACAUAUGAAUAAACCUUCCCCUGUCUUUCCAUCUAACCUUACAAGUUCUACUCUCCAAAGUCUCGAAUUUCAGCUACGUUGAGGACCUUGUAUUCAUUGAUUUGCUUGGAAGAGGAUGUGGCAUUCCUUUGAUACGGGUACUUAUCAACAUAUAAUGUUGCUGCCAUUAGGAAAGAAGUAAGCAGCCUCUGCAGGGAGCUACUACCUCGUGCACUAGCCUUGGUCAGUUCUCAGCUUUCAAAUAUUUAUGUUUAUCACAAACUCUUCAUACUUUUGAUACUAAAGACAAAUGCUCUUACUAUUCUAUUUUCGAAUGUAUCUAUUCAUUAUAUUUUUGCUCUUUACAAGUUCACAUUUCUCGCUUCUACUCAAAAUUUACAUUACAUCUUUUCAUGAGGCCCAAAUUUUUGGACCUUAUACAUGUGUUAUAAAUCAACUUCACUUGACCCUAAAUCUAAUUUAAGUUAAGCACUCUCUCUC